This 437-nucleotide long non-coding RNA is filed under the name Ananas comosus (pineapple). RNAcentral describes it as "long non-coding RNA (ACOM_LNC038845)". The record is from RNAcentral. Lineage: Eukaryota; Viridiplantae; Streptophyta; Magnoliopsida; Poales; Bromeliaceae.
AUGAUGCAAUGCACAAUACAACAAGCAUUCUAUUUAAAAGUGCACCCCACCCGGAAGUUUUGUUUUUAAACUCUAUUUAAUCAUUCAUAGAAACCAUUUGAAAACCUUUUUAAAACUGUUUCCCACUCGGAAACUUCACUUUUGAAAACUGACUACCUCGAGGGGUAGAAAAUCACAAUGCAUAAAUACAAAAGUCCGAGAACCACUUAUCCAUAAAACCAAAACCACAUAUCUAAAAUCUCCAAUCACAUGCGUAAAAGGAAAUCACCAACUCAACAGUUCACAAAUACUCAAACAGUAUUAUUGAUCAUCUAACUGAACCAUUCAUUAUUAAAAACUACUAAGUGCGGGAAUGAAAUAUAACUAGGGUAACGAUCGCUACUGCAGUCUAGCUAGUACGUCCUCCCGUCGCGCAUAAAAACCAACUCCUCGCCUGA